CGCUGGCGGCACGCCUAAUACAUGCAAGUCGAACGAAGUAGCAAUACUUAGUGGCGAACGGGUGAGUAUAAUGUGGGUAUCUGCCUUUUGGUUUGGAAUAACACGAGGAAACUUGUGCUAAUACCGGAUAAGCCUUCACAGGGAAAGUUUUAACGCCAAAAGAUGAGCCCGCACUUGAUUAGCUAGUUGGUAAGGUAAAAGCUUACCAAGGCUACGAUCAAUAGCUGAUCUGAGAGGAUGAUCAGCCACAUUGGGACUGAGACACGGCCCAAACUCCUACGGGAGGCAGCAGUAGGGAAUCUUGCACAAUGGGGGAAACCCUGAUGCAGCGAUGCCGCGUGAGUGAAGAAGGCCUUUGGGUUGUAAAGCUCUUUCGUCGGGGAAGAAAAUGACUGUACCCGAAUAAGAAGGUCCGGCUAACUUCGUGCCAGCAGCCGCGGUAAUACGAAGGGACCUAGCGUAGUUCGGAAUUACUGGGCUUAAAGAGCACGUAGGUGGUUAGAAAAGUUGGUGGUGAAAUCCCAAGGCUUAACCUUGGAACUGCCAUCAAAACUUUUUAACUAGAGUAUGAUAGAGGUAAGCGGAAUUUCUAGUGUAGAGGUGAAAUUCGUAGAUAUUAGAAAGAACACCAAUUGCGAAGGCAGCUUUCUGGAUCAUUACUGACACUGAGGUGCGAAAGCAUGGGUAGCGAAGAGGAUUAGAUACCCUCGUAGUCCAUGCUGUAAACGAUGUGUGCUAGACGUUGGAAAUUUAUUUUUCAGUGUCGCAGCAAAAGCGUUAAGCACACCGCCUGGGGAGUACGACCG
RNAcentral lists this ribosomal RNA (806 nucleotides) under uncultured Pelagibacteraceae bacterium. RNAcentral describes it as "bacterial SSU rRNA". It matches the Rfam family "Bacterial small subunit ribosomal RNA", at positions 34 to 888 of the family's 1533-position model. Lineage: Bacteria; Pseudomonadati; Pseudomonadota; Alphaproteobacteria; Candidatus Pelagibacterales; Candidatus Pelagibacteraceae. The record is from RNAcentral.